RNAcentral lists this ribosomal RNA (253 nucleotides) under uncultured bacterium. RNAcentral's name for it is "partial 16S ribosomal RNA". It matches the Rfam family "Bacterial small subunit ribosomal RNA", at positions 524 to 776 of the family's 1533-position model. The record is from RNAcentral.
UACGGAGGGUGCAAGCGUUAUCCGGAUUCACUGGGUUUAAAGGGUGCGUAGGUGGGCAGGUAAGUCAGUGGUGAAAUCUCCGGGCUUAACCCGGAAACUGCCAUUGAUACUAUUUGUCUUGAAUAUCGUGGAGGUGAGCGGAAUAUGUCAUGUAGCGGUGAAAUGCUUAGAUAUGACAUAGAACACCCAUUGCGAAGGCAGCUCACUACACGAAGAUUGACGCUGAGGCACGAAAGCGUGGGGAGCAAACAGG